This 274-nucleotide ribosomal RNA is filed under the name uncultured bacterium. RNAcentral describes it as "partial 16S ribosomal RNA". It matches the Rfam family "Bacterial small subunit ribosomal RNA", at positions 523 to 796 of the family's 1533-position model. The record is from RNAcentral.
AUACGGAGGGUGCAAGCGUUGUUCGGAAUCACUGGGCGUAAAGGGCGCGCAGGCGGUUUGGUAAGUCAGAUGUGAAAGCCCACGGCUCAACCGUGGAAGUGCAUUUGAAACUGUCAGACUUGAGUACUAGAGGGGAAAGUGGAACUCCCGGUGUAGAGGUGAAAUUCGUAGAUAUCGGGAGGAAUACCGGUGGCGAAGGCGACUUUCUGGCUAGAUACUGACGCUGAGGCGCGAAAGCGUGGGGAGCAAACAGGAUUAGAAACCCCAGUAGUCC